This 440-nucleotide ribosomal RNA is filed under the name uncultured bacterium. Its description in RNAcentral is "bacterial SSU rRNA". It matches the Rfam family "Bacterial small subunit ribosomal RNA", at positions 338 to 793 of the family's 1533-position model. The record is from RNAcentral.
CCUACGGGAGGCUGCAGUGAGGAAUCUUCCACAAUGGGCGAAAGCCUGAUGGAGCAACGCCGCGUGCAGGAUGAAGGCCUUCGGGUCGUAAACUGCUUUUAUAAGUGAAGAAUAUGACGGUAACUUAUGAAUAAGCACCGGCUAACUACGUGCCAGCAGCCGCGGUCAUACGUAGGGUGCAAGCAUUAUCCGGAGUGACUGGGCGUAAAGAGUUGCGUAGGUGGUCUGUAAAGUGAAUAGUGAAAUCAGGGGGCUCAACCUCACUGGCUAUUAUUCAAACUCACAGACUCGAGAAUGGUAGAGGUAACUGGAAUUUCUAGUGUAGGAGUGAAAUCCGUAGAUAUUAGAAGGAACACCAAUGGCGUAGGCAGGUUACUGGACCAUUUCUGACACUGAGGCACGAAAGCGUGGGGAGCGAACGGGAUUAGAUACCCUUGUAG